CGCGAGCCGACACAGUGGCAUCUCCCACUCCUCCCCCUCCCCCCUCUCGCCGCCGCCCAUCGCGGAGACCUCCCCCGCCGCGCCGCCGCCCCUCCCCCGCCUCGUCGUCUCUCCGGUGACGGUGAGCCCCUCGUUCACCGCGCGACCGAUUCGAUUCGAUCUCCGCGAGGCUCACCCCACGCACGGUCCUCGUCAAGAUGCUGAUGCACAACGUGCACCACCUCCGUGGUGGCCAGCUUGUUGAUCUCAACAGGGUGAAUGCAGGCCCUGACCAUAACCGCGGGGUGCCAGCCAAUGGUGCCCAUCAGUUUAAUUGGUCAGGGUUCAGUCUCAUGCUGUUCGGUGCAGCCCCGAUGAUGGUUUUGCCUUGGCAGGUGGUACAUGUGCCGUGGCCUCUGCUGCUUCUUGCGUUGAUGACCUGGUUCAUCGGCUGCCUCAGGCUCUACGGUUUUCAAAUCGCUUUUCCUGUAUAUUAUCAUCAGCACGGUGGCAACAACAGCCAAGGUGUAGCAGCGCCAGCAAGCACAGGACGUUAAGACACAUACCACUAAUUCUUUUGUUGCAAACCAUCCUAUAAAAGCAGGGAAUGGAUCAACCAUGACUUGUUGAAAAUCUAGACCACGGGAUCUGAUAUAUUUUCCUAAUUCACAUAUAAUUGGUUUUAUUCUUACAUAACUCGUGUGUGCUGCCCUGAAACCCUCAGUGUCAUGUUCAUGCCAUAUGGGAUCCCAUGCGAGUAAACAGUUUCACACACCAUUCACAAAUUGGGUUGUGGGUGUAACCAUACAAAACUUACAUUACUCUUGCAACGUGCAGGGAUGGAAUGGUGAAUAAUGCAGAGAUGGAGGAGGAGAACGCCAUUCCGGAUGAGGGCAGUCUGGCCUGGAGCGGCUACGCCCUGAUGGUCUUAUCAGUGUUGGCAUUGUGGUCUGGCUUGGUCACUGAACCGGUGGCGGUCUUCCUGUCCUUCCUGCUUCUGCUGCUUGGGUGCGGCUUUCUUCACCUCGCCAUGCUCGCACCGUCCAAGCCCAAGAUGUUCUGAUUGAUCACAAGCAAUUCCAACACGGGGCGAUUAUAAGAAUUUUUGGUAUCGUGUGUUUAUAGGUUUGUGCGUGUAUGGUAUAUUGGUAUGUGCUUCAUAGAACACCAAUCAUGUGUAUAUAUAUUUAUAUGAGUAAAGUGUAUUGGCGGUCCUUAAACUUGUAGGAUUAUGACAUAUAGGUCCCUAAACUCUUAAAAUGCAUAUUCAGAUUCCAGAAUUUGUCAAAGUGUAUCAUCUAGGUCCUAAAUUGACAUAUCCUCUUUAGGAUCAUAUGUGACACUGAUGUGGCAAUGCCACAUGGACUUGACGUGUCCUUUUCUUCUUCUU
Long non-coding RNA from Oryza sativa Japonica Group (Japanese rice), 1369 nucleotides. RefSeq lists it as uncharacterized. Lineage: Eukaryota; Viridiplantae; Streptophyta; Magnoliopsida; Poales; Poaceae. The record is from RefSeq and is a predicted model, not a curated record.